Molecule: ribosomal RNA, 253 nt
Filed under: uncultured bacterium
Lineage: Bacteria
Description: partial 16S ribosomal RNA
Rfam family: Bacterial small subunit ribosomal RNA
Source: RNAcentral
UACGAAGGGUGCAAGCGUUAAUCGGAAUUACUGGGCGUAAAGCGCGCGUAGGCGGUUUGGUAAGUGUGAUGUGAAAUCCCCGGGCUCAACCUGGGAACUGCAUCACAUACUGCCAGGCUAGAGUACGGUAGAGGGGGGUAGAAUUCCACGUGUAGCGGUGAAAUGCGUAGAGAUGUGGAGGAAUACCAGUGGCGAAGGCGGCCCCCUGGAUCGAUACUGACGCUGAGGUGCGAAAGCGUGGGGAGCAAACAGG